GUCGAGGGGCAGCGGGGGAUGCGUUCGCGCAUUCUGCCGGCGACCGGCGCACGGGUGAGUAACACGUAUGCAACCUGCCCCGUCCAGGGGGAUAAUCGGCGGAAACGCCGUCUAAUACCGCGUAUAUCGAUUCCGGGCAUCCGGGAUUGAAGAAAGGGCCUUAGGGUCCGGGACGGGAUGGGCAUGCGGCGCAUUAGGAAGUUGGCGGUGUAACGGACCACCAAUCCGUCGAUGCGUAGGGGUUCUGAGAGGAAGGCCCCCCACACUGGUACUGAGACACGGACCAGACUCCUACGGGAGGCAGCAGUGAGGAAUAUUGGUCAAUGGGCGGGAGCCUGAACCAGCCAAGUCGCGUGAGGGAAGAAGGUACUGAGUAUUGUAAACCUCUUUUGCCAGGGGACAAAGGCGGCCACGGGUGGCCGUAAGAGGGUACCUGGAGAAAAAGCAUCGGCUAACUCCGUGCCAGCAGCCGCGGUAAUACGGAGGAUGCGAGCGUUAUCCGGAUUUAUUGGGUUUAAAGGGUGCGCAGGCGGAAUGUCAAGUCAGCGGUAAAAUUUCGGGGCUCAACCCCGUCGUGCCGUUGAAACUGGCGUUCUUGAGUGAGCGAGAAGUAUGCGGAAUGCGUGGUGUAGCGGUGAAAUGCAUAGAUAUCACGCAGAACUCCGAUUGCGAAGGCAGCAUACCGGCGCUCAACUGACGCUCAUGCACGAAAGCGUGGGUAUCGAACAGGAUUAGAUACCCUGGUAGUCCACGCAGUAAACGAUGAAUACUAACUGUCCGGGCAGAAUGAUGCCUGGGUGGUACAGCGAAAGCGUUAAGUAUUCCACCUGGGGAGU
RNAcentral lists this ribosomal RNA (836 nucleotides) under uncultured bacterium. RNAcentral's name for it is "bacterial SSU rRNA". It matches the Rfam family "Bacterial small subunit ribosomal RNA", at positions 61 to 881 of the family's 1533-position model. The record is from RNAcentral.